Acomys russatus (golden spiny mouse) is the source of this 357-nucleotide long non-coding RNA. RefSeq lists it as uncharacterized. The transcript is spliced from 3 exons. Lineage: Eukaryota; Metazoa; Chordata; Mammalia; Rodentia; Muridae. The record is from RefSeq and is a predicted model, not a curated record.
GGCGGGGCGACGCGGCGUGGUGGUUUCGGGGCAUCGACAGACUCAGCAGAGAUCUGUGUGAAGCUCAGCAUCUUCCUUGGCUGCCUCGGCUCUGCUCGGCUCAGCUUCGGUGGCUUUGGAUGGGCCCAGUGCUUAGAAAUGGAACUCAAAGCAUGAGACCACACGAGCCAAGAGGAUUUUCCAAAAUGAGUUUAACUAGACUGAAGCCGCUGGGAUUUGUGGCCUCUCUGUACAGACAAACAAGUCAGUGCACAAGAAGGACCCGGCUGGAGAACUGACUGAAUUUUUUUCCCUGGAGGAUGUUAGGCAACGCCACUGAAGGCAGAGAGACACUGGGACACUACUGCAGACUAAGCA